Molecule: long non-coding RNA, 215 nt
Filed under: Elaeis guineensis (African oil palm)
Lineage: Eukaryota; Viridiplantae; Streptophyta; Magnoliopsida; Arecales; Arecaceae
Description: long non-coding RNA (EGUI_LNC080634)
Source: RNAcentral
CCUGGCUGGUGGAAAAUUUCAACUUUAAAUGGUAGGUUGAUACGAUAGCUCAGAGAGCGUUGAGGCCAGGUCAGUCAAGGAUUGCAUUGUAGGCUGACGGCGCCUUCACCACUAGGAAAUUUACCAGAGCCCUGGAUUGCCUUGGAUAUCGACCUGCGGUCACAGUCAAAGUUAUUAUUCCCUCCGUCGGAACAGCGUCGCCAGUAAAUCCUACC